AUGGCUCAAGAUAAUACCAAAUUGUGUGACUUUACCAAUACCAACAACAAUGAUUUUCUUAGCACUCCGAUUGCUCCUCUUACCGAUACUGAGUCUUGUGAAAUUAAUACUACUUUGUUGAAUCUUGUCAUGAAAGAUCAAUUCGCCGGCCUUCCUACUGAAGAUGCCGCUACCCAUCUAAAUAACUUCGUUGAUUUGUGUGAUAUGCAAAAGAAUAAAUAUGUGGACAAUGAUAUUGUUAAAUUGAAGCUAUUUCCUUUUUCGCUUAGAGAUCGUGCUAAAGCUUGGUUUUUGUCUUUGCCUAAAAAUAGUAUUGAUUCUUGGAAUAAGUGCAAAGAUGCUUUUAUCUCUAAGUAUUUUCCUCCCACUAAGAUCAUCUCUCUUAGAACCGAUAUUAUGAAUUUUAAGCAACUUGAUCAUGAACAUGUUGCAUAA
RNAcentral lists this ribosomal RNA (435 nucleotides) under Triticum aestivum (bread wheat). RNAcentral describes it as "partial small subunit ribosomal RNA". The record is from RNAcentral. Lineage: Eukaryota; Viridiplantae; Streptophyta; Magnoliopsida; Poales; Poaceae.